This 191-nucleotide unclassified non-coding RNA is filed under the name uncultured fungus. RNAcentral describes it as "sequence contains ITS1". Lineage: Eukaryota; Fungi. The record is from RNAcentral.
CUUGAUGAAAAUCUGCUCGGGAAGGCGAUCUUUCUUUUUACUCAUCAGAAUGAAGAGGAAAUAUCCUCACAGCAAUCGCUCGAUGCAUCCGGCGCACAGACCCAGUUCAGGGUCGCCGAUUCCGGGAAGGUAACAAAGGAAAUCAUAGGGCGGCUGGAACUGGACUGGGCCGGAUUGCCCGGCCAUGUACU